ACUCAAAUGAAUUGACGGGGACCCGCACAAGCGGUGGAUCAUGUGGUUUAAUUCGAAGGUACGCGAAGAACCUUACCAAGGCUUGACAUCCCAAGAAGGCCCUAGAAAUAGGGCUGUGCCUUCGGGAACUUGGUGACAGGUGUUGCAUGGCCGUUGUCAGCUCGUGUCGUGAGAUGUAGGGUUAAGUCCCGUAACGAGCGCAACCCUUAUUGUCUGUUGGAUUUUCAGGCGAGACUGCCCCGGUUAACGGGGAGGAAGGUGGGGACGACUUCAGGUCAUCAUGGCCCUUACGCCUUGGGCUACACACGUGAUACAAUGGCCGGUACAACGGGUUGCGAACCCGCGAGGGGGAGCUAAUCCCAUCAAAACCGGUCUCAGUUCGGAUUGCAGGCUGCAACUCGCCUGCAUGAAGUUGGAAUCGCUAGUAACCGUAGGUCAGCACACUACGGUGAAUACGUUCUCGGGUCUUGUACACACCGCCCGU
Molecule: ribosomal RNA, 484 nt
Filed under: uncultured bacterium
Lineage: Bacteria
Description: partial 16S ribosomal RNA
Rfam family: Bacterial small subunit ribosomal RNA
Source: RNAcentral